Molecule: ribosomal RNA, 263 nt
Filed under: uncultured bacterium
Lineage: Bacteria
Description: partial 16S ribosomal RNA
Rfam family: Bacterial small subunit ribosomal RNA
Source: RNAcentral
CUGACGAGUGGCGGACGGGUGAGUAAUGUCUGGGAAACUGCCCGGUGGAGGGGGAUAACUACUGGAAACGGUAGCUAAUACCGCAUAACGUCGCAAGACCAAAGAGGGGGACCUUCGGGCCUCUUGCCACCGGAUGUGCCCAGAUGGGAUUAGCUUGUUGGUGGGGUAACGGCUCACCAAGGCGACGAUCCCUAGCUGGUCUGAGAGGAUGACCAGCCACACUGGAACUGAGACACGGUCCAGACUCCUACGGGAGGCAGCAG